Molecule: ribosomal RNA, 373 nt
Filed under: uncultured organism
Description: bacterial SSU rRNA
Rfam family: Bacterial small subunit ribosomal RNA
Source: RNAcentral
CGGAGGGUGCAAGCGUUGUUCGGAAUUACUGGGCGUAAAGCGCACGUAGGCGGAUUUGUAAGUCAGAUGUGAAAGCCCCGGGCUUAACCUGGGAAUUGCAUUUGAAACUGCAAACCUUGAAUGCUUGAGAGGGUGACGGAAUUCCUGGUGUAGAAGUGAAAUUCGUAGAUAUCAGGAGGAACACCGGAGGCGAAGGCGGUUGCCUGGCGAUGCAUUGACGCUGAGGUGCGAAAGCGUGGGUAGCAAACAGGAUUAGAUACCCUGGUAGUCCACGCUGUAAACUAUGGAUACUAGGUGUCCGCGGCUUUAACCCCGUGGGUACCAAAGCUUACGCAUUAAGUAUCCCGCCUGGGGAGUACGGGUCGCAAGGCUA